This 509-nucleotide ribosomal RNA is filed under the name uncultured bacterium. RNAcentral's name for it is "bacterial SSU rRNA". It matches the Rfam family "Bacterial small subunit ribosomal RNA", at positions 28 to 517 of the family's 1533-position model. The record is from RNAcentral.
GAUGAACGCUAGCUACAGGCUUAACACAUGCAAGUCGAGGGGAAACGAUAUUGGAAGCUUGCUUCUGAUAGGCGUCGACCGGCGCACGGGUGAGUAACGCGUAUCCAACCUGCCCAUCACUUGGGGAUAACCUUGUGAAAGUAAGACUAAUACCCAAUGACGUCUCUAGAAGACAUCUGAAAGAGAUUAAAGAUUUAUCGGUGAUGGAUGGGGAUGCGUCUGAUUAGCUUGUUGGCGGGGUAACGGCCCACCAAGGCGACGAUCAGUAGGGGUUCUGAGAGGAAGGUCCCCCACAUUGGAACUGAGACACGGUCCAAACUCCUACGGGAGGCAGCAGUGAGGAAUAUUGGUCAAUGGUCGGCAGACUGAACCAGCCAAGUCGCGUGAGGGAAGACGGCCCCUAACGGGGUUGUAAAACCCUCUUUUUGUCGGAGAGUAAAGUACGCUACGUGUAGUGUAUUGCAAGUAUCCGAAGAAAAAGCAUCGGCUAAACUCCGUGCCAGCAGCCG